Molecule: long non-coding RNA, 1893 nt
Organism: Osmia bicornis bicornis
Lineage: Eukaryota; Metazoa; Arthropoda; Insecta; Hymenoptera; Megachilidae
Exons: 5
Source: RefSeq, a predicted model, not a curated record
UUACAAUGAAGGACAAUAAUAAAAAAAAUAAUAACAUCUAUGAUAAUUACUGUCAAGAUAUCCAAUAAAAAAGCAUUGGUAAAUGUAAAAAUUUGAGGUAAACUAAACUCCAGAGUUGCAAUGUUUUCCAUAGAGUUAUCGUGAAACAAAGAUAAGGCACACGAUAUUGGAAAUUUUCCUAGACCCGAUAAUGACCGAGGAAUAACAAUUGAUGCGAAGUUUAUAAGCAAUUAAUAUUACGAUUCAAGUUGUACAUACGAUCUCAAAAGCAAGAACGUUAUCGAGCAAUCAGUUUAGAUUAAGUAAUAAAGGAUUUAAAGAUCGAUCAAAUAUCGGGGAUGCAACAGUGAAAAGUUGUGCCGACAUAACAAGAAGAAUUAUUGACACGUUGGUAAAAGGAGAAAUUCGACUCACCUUAAACGCUUCUAUGCUACCCAUGUCGUUUGGAAGACAGCUGGCCAGCAUCAUAUCACCUUUACUUAAUCCUGCAAAUUAUAAGAAACAAAAUUGUUUGCGGUAUGCUUUUAGGAAACAAUUAUACAGCCCGUUAUGCAGGGUCAUAUCAAGAUCACACUGUGAGAUGAACAGAGGGAUAGAAGAGAAACUAGGUCACGUAACAAGCGGAAAAUCUGGAAAAUGUAAUGAUUAAAAUGAACGAUUUACCUGUAUGUACACGGUAAAAAACAGAUGAAUAUUCAUUCCACUAAACGAUAAUCUUUGAAUGAAUAGAAAAGGCGAGAAGCUUUUAUCCUUCUUCUUGAAAAGUAAAACUUGCAUCGCUCAAAACAAUGACGCAAUUAUCUGUUUUCAUAACUGGGAAGAAUGAGCUGAACAUCAGUAAUGGAACUUAUACAUAUGGUAUAGUAUAGUAUAAUAGAGUGUUUCAACCAUCAAACGAUACGACACCUUUGUAAACAAAUGAUAAAAUGAUAUGAACAGGUAAUCCUCAAACUAAUUUGACCAGUUUAAUAAUAGUCUCAUUUAACAACGGUAAACUUGCAUAACAUUGAUAAAGGUUUUAAAUUGUAUACUCUAUGGCGCCAUAUUAAUGUUUUCAUUCUCAAACCAAGUUGGAUGACAUUUACUGCUAAUUUUAUGAAUGUGUAAAGCGCAUAUAACGUGUGUUUGAAUUGUCAGCGCGUGUAUGUGCGCAUGUGCUUUAUUCAACAAGUGAAGUAAUACUAGAUAGUACUCGAAUUUCAGCAAUAAUAUAGCAUAAAAUAUGAAUUAUUUGACUAUUAUCUAUGCAAAUGAUAUUUAGAUUUGUAAUUUAUAAACACGUAUUAAGUUUAAUUAUUUUUUUAGGUCCUUGAAAUCAGAAACAUCUGUUAACAUGUUCGCUGUGAAUUGAACCCAUGGACAUUUGCUGGGUGAAUAAAAUGAUAUUAAUAAUAUAAAUUAAUUAAGUGUGGCUCGGUUUGUACGAACAUUGCCAAGAUAUGCACGAUAUACAGCCGACACGGAUCUGCGACGUCCGCACUAAACGUGCUAAUCUCUUUUUUUAAACUAUUCUUGUCUUUCAUUGACUAUGCAUAAAGAGGGAUCACGUAGAUGUCCGAAGUAUAAUUUGAAACAAUGGAUGCGAAGGUUUGUUGCGAUUUCAAUUAACGGUACUCAAGAAUAAACUGCUGAAAGUAAAAAUAACGUUAAUCUAAGGACAACGCAUAGCUGGAUAAUAUGAAGUAUCAUAAGUACAUGUAAAGUCAAGUAUAAAUUCAUGCCAUCAAAAAUGAAUAACCCUCGUAGAAACUAUUGAUAAACGUAACGAAUUUUUUAAAUCUCUAAUAAACAGAAGGUAAAUGUGUAAAAAUGAUUAUAAAAAUGAUACAAUUGUUUUAUAUGUACAUAUGUAAUUAUAUAUAAUUCAAAAUUUGUACCAUUUAUCCCAAAAUA